UACGGGGGGGGCAAGCGUUGUUCGGAAUUACUGGGCGUAAAGGGCUCGUAGGUGGCCAACUAAGUCAUACGUGAAAUCCCUCAGCUUAACUGGGGAACUGCGUCUGAUACUGGAUGGCUUGAGUUUGGGAGAGGGAUGCGGAAUUCCAGGUGUAGCGGUGAAAUGCGUAGAUAUCUGGAGGAACACCGGUGGCGAAGGCGGCAUCCUGGACCAAUACUGACACUGAGGCGCGAAAGCUAGGGGAGCAAACGGG
This 253-nucleotide ribosomal RNA is filed under the name uncultured bacterium. Its description in RNAcentral is "partial 16S ribosomal RNA". It matches the Rfam family "Bacterial small subunit ribosomal RNA", at positions 524 to 776 of the family's 1533-position model. The record is from RNAcentral.